AGACAGUAAUGAAUCAGUGGAGAUGUUAUAUGCUGCUUUGAAGUUAAUGACAUGAGAACCUGGGCAGACCUCUGACGACAGCUAAUAAUAUUCAUACUCAACUACAAGCCCCAGACUCCAAACCAUAUCCUUGUGGAGGAAUUUCCCAGGAACCCAUACAAAGAAUGAAUUUCGAUGACUUUGCAGAAGAAAUGGAUUCCAAAGUGAAAUGCUCACAAUCGUUGGGCCCCCAUAGAGGUUGUUUUGAACAUAAAUAUUUUACAUUUUUCAAUAAUAUUUUUUUUUACAGAUAAAAGUGUUAUAUCUCGUUUGCACUCCUUCAGAAGAACCUUCAAAAAUUGUGGUACCGUCACCAUCGUCUGGCGGCCACGCAGGUAUUAUGUAUAGUAUAAUGUAAAUAUAUUAGUAUUUGCUUUAAAAAAAAUACAUUUAUGUAUUUUAGAUAUAAUGGAUGCCAUUGGGACAAAGGUAGCAAAACUCAUAAGUGGUGUUGAAGACCGUCUCACUGUCAUUGAAAAGGCCUUAAAAGCUUAAAAGACAAAAAAAGGCCGAGGUGCAAGCACAAAGUAAGCUAUUGCGCGAAUGCCGCGUCAUAGCGGAAAAUACGCACCAUUCAAUUAGCCACAUCACCGGUGACUUGGUAGAGAUCGUGCGCUUCGUGGAAGACAAAAUUUCAUAAAAAGAAAACACAUAUUACAUAUGUACAUGUUAGUUAUAAGUUGUGCAUAUUAAUUUUAAGUUGCAUGUAUUAGUUAUAAGUUGUACAUAUUAGUUUUAAGUUGUAGUUUCUAGUUUUACUUUAUAUAUGGUGCAGAGGCUUGGACGAUGUCAACAAGGCUGUACGAGAUUUACGACGACAUUGACAUAGUACAGCGAAUUAAAAGACCGCGGCUACGCUGGCUAGGGGUCAUGUUGUCCGGAUGGAUGAAAAUACUCCAGCUCUGAAAGUAUUCGACGCAGUACCCACCGGGAGAAGCAGAGGCAGACUCCACUCCGUUGGAAGGACCAAGUGGAGAAGGACCUGGCUUCGCUUGGAAUAUCCAAUUGGCGCCACGUUGCGAAAAGAAGAAACGACUGGCGCGCGGUUGUUAACUCGGCUAUAAUCGCGUAAGCGGUGUCUACGCCAAUUAAGAAAAAGAAGAAUUUUCAGAAUUAUAAUUUUUAUAUUGAAGUAAACUUAAUCUUAUAUUAUAUUUGAUUUUAAUAAAAAAAUUGACAUUUUCUGCCGAAUGUAAUAAUA
Bactrocera dorsalis (oriental fruit fly) is the source of this 1240-nucleotide long non-coding RNA. RefSeq lists it as uncharacterized. The record is from RefSeq and is a predicted model, not a curated record. NCBI's taxonomy places the organism in Eukaryota, Metazoa, Arthropoda, Insecta, Diptera, Tephritidae. The transcript has 3 exons.